CUAAUUGCUGAAUAAUUUUGUUUCCUUUUUCCUCUGUAAUUGAUAUUUCAAUUGCUUCCAAUUUUUGGAAUCAACAAUGUAGUGAACACUUUUUGGUUUUGCUUUUAAAUUUAAAAAGUAAAGCUUCUCAAUACAAAUUCUCAGGAGUUGGCUAACUGGGUGACCCGGAGGGCUGACACCAUGGAAGAAGCAUUGGAUUUAGAGUCAGAUGACUUGAGAUGGAACUGUGAUUACUAUCUAUGUGAUCUUGGGCAAGUUACACCACUGGGCUGUAGUGUUCUCCCUGUAUCAUUUUUCACCUGUAUCAUAGCUCUCAGGGCUUUAAUGAGGGCUAGUGAGAGAUCAAAAAUCUUAGCACAGUGCAUAUUCAAAUUGCUCUAGGUAAGGAGACUGUCAGGGUCAGAGUAACAGCCAGAAGAAAUAUGUCACCACACCCACUACCAGGGUUGCCUCCUCCCAUGUCUGGUAACACAAAAGCACCAAAUUAUAACAGCUGCAGCCAGAACCGGCACCCGCUGCAAAUAUCCAACAUGGCUGCUGACUAAUAUCAUUAUGACAUCAUUGUAGCAAAAUUACAUGGCUGACAUUCCUCCUCCCAUCAUGCAUCUGAUACCAUGACACUACCGAGGCUUCCUAAGAAGGCCAGAAAAUGGGCAGACACCAAAUCCCUGCCCUUUCUUGGAAAUCUCUACUCAAAGCACCACCCCUAUGCCUCCAGAUCACAUAAAGGGAGGACUCCAAAUCUGGCUCCCUCUGGGUACCACCUGCCAUGUUGGUGGUAUGGGGGUUCACCAGAGGCUGAACCAAUAAGACUGCCUAAUCUUGGACUUUCAGCCUCCCAAACUGCCAGCUAAGUAAACCUCUCUUAUUUGAUUUCAUGCCGUGAGAAUUCAAGGAUCCCAUCAAAGGCAUGCUUUCCUAAUGAGUUCUGAGACCCAGAAUAGCGGUGUGAUGCACCAGUGUCAUUCCUUCCACGAUGCCUCUUUUGACUCCGAUUCCCAAAAUUUCAAGCAAGU
Molecule: non-coding RNA, 1016 nt
Organism: Oryctolagus cuniculus (rabbit)
Lineage: Eukaryota; Metazoa; Chordata; Mammalia; Lagomorpha; Leporidae
Source: RefSeq, a predicted model, not a curated record